This 87-nucleotide transfer RNA is filed under the name Leucoagaricus sp. SymC.cos. It matches the Rfam family "tRNA". Rfam says of the family: Transfer RNA (tRNA) molecules are approximately 80 nucleotides in length. Their secondary structure includes four short double-helical elements and three loops (D, anti-codon, and T loops). The record is from Rfam by way of RNAcentral. Lineage: Eukaryota; Fungi; Basidiomycota; Agaricomycetes; Agaricales; Agaricaceae.
GCAUUGAUGGUGUAGUGGUAACAUUGGGUAUUCCCACUCUUUAGAAUGAGGAUGGCCUAGCGCCGGGUUCGAUUCCCGGUCAAUGCA